GUGAACGCUGGCGGUAGGCCUAACACAUGCAAGUCGAACGGCAGCACAGUAAGAGCUUGCUCUUACGGGUGGCGAGUGGCGGACGGGUGAGGAAUACAUCGGAAUCUACUUUUUCGUGGGGGAUAACGUAGGGAAACUUACGCUGAUACCGCAUACGACCUACGGGUGAAAGCAGGGGAUCUUCGGGCCUUGCGCGAUUGAAUGAGCCGAUGUCGGAUUAGCUAGUUGGCGGGGUAAAGGCCCACCAAGGCGACGAUCCGUAGCUGGUCUGAGAGGAUGAUCAGCCACACUGGAACUGAGACACGGUCCAGACUCCUACGGGAGGCAGCAGUGGGGAAUAUUGGACAAUGGGCGCAAGCCUGAUCCAGCCAUACCGCGUGGGUGAAGAAGGCCUUCGGGUUGUAAAGCCCUUUUGUUGGGAAAGAAAAGCAGCAGGUUAAUACCCCGCUGUUCUGACGGUACCCAAAGAAUAAGCACCGGCUAACUUCGUG
This 491-nucleotide ribosomal RNA is filed under the name uncultured bacterium. Its description in RNAcentral is "partial 16S ribosomal RNA". It matches the Rfam family "Bacterial small subunit ribosomal RNA", at positions 29 to 507 of the family's 1533-position model. The record is from RNAcentral.